RNAcentral lists this ribosomal RNA (429 nucleotides) under Bacteroidota bacterium. RNAcentral describes it as "Bacteroidetes bacterium partial 16S ribosomal RNA". It matches the Rfam family "Bacterial small subunit ribosomal RNA", at positions 355 to 776 of the family's 1533-position model. Lineage: Bacteria; Pseudomonadati; Bacteroidota. The record is from RNAcentral.
UAGGGAAUCUUCCGCAAUGGACGCAAGUCUGACGGAGCAACGCCGCGUGAGAGAAGAAGGAUUCCGGUUCGUAAAACUCUGUUGUUAGAGAAGAACAGCGCAUAGAGUAACUGUUAUGCGUGUGACGGUAUCUAACCAGAAAGCCACGGCUAACUACGUGCCAGCAGCCGCGGUAAUACGUAGGUGGCAAGCGUUGUCCGGAUUUAUUGGGCGUAAAGCGAGCGCAGGCGGUUAAUUAAGUCUGAUGUGAAAGCCCCCGGCUCAACCGGGGAGGGUCAUUGGAAACUGGUUGACUUGAGUGCAGAAGAGGAGAGUGGAAUUCCAUGGGUAGCGGUGAAAUGCGUAGAUAUAUGGAGGAACACCAGUGGCGAAGGCGACUCUCUGGUCUGUAACUGACGCUGAGGCUCGAAAGCGUGGGUAGCAAACAGG